RNAcentral lists this long non-coding RNA (25265 nucleotides) under Zostera marina. RNAcentral's name for it is "long non-coding RNA (ZMAR_LNC000695)". The stretch from base 2 to 212 matches the Rfam family "Plant small nucleolar RNA U3". Lineage: Eukaryota; Viridiplantae; Streptophyta; Magnoliopsida; Alismatales; Zosteraceae. The record is from RNAcentral.
UACGACCUUACUUGAACAGGAUCUGUUCUAUAGGAUCGUACUACUAUUGUCUUUAGUAAUAAAGAGAUUAGUCAAUAAAUCUGGUGGAUGAUAAAUAACCUCAUAAUCAGAGCGUGAUUAACGGAUAUAGUGGUUUAUCGUUAAAUCUGUAGAUGAUCGUUCUCAGAUCGGUUUCACCUUUAUGAGAUGGUUGUGAGGUUUACUGACAGACUAAAUCUUUUCCUUUUUUCUCUGGAUUCAUUUUUAUUUUCAAAAUUAACCCCUACAGGCUAAUUGUAAUGUAAGGUAAUAAGGGUGUUCUGGGAAUGAAAUUGGUCGGUGACAUUGAUCUCCAAGCUACAGAGAACAGAGGUUUCCCGAUGAUUGUUUAAAGCAGACAGACAGAUUCUAGCACCACAUACUCCUUCAGUUCCUGAAGAUCAUAUGAUUUGUCAAUUCGGAUGCAGACUCAUCGCUAUUCGGAUACUAAUAUACGUCGAUGAUUUUGUCAUUAUUGAGAACAAUUCCAUAGAACUCGACAACAUCGUUAAAUCUACCGAUUAUAUAAACUGUAUUUAGUUAACUAAUCACAGAUUUUGAGAACAUAAUGAUUAAUUUCAUUUAAUUGUCCUUUUCUAUUAGUAUGAGUCAUAUUUGAUAAUUAAUAGGUGCAAAUCUGUUAAAUUGACGUGAUAUUAAAAUAGCUGAAUAGGGACGUUCAGAUAAAUUUUCUUUGUUUUCGAAUUUUUUCAUAGUCCCAUACCAAUGAAAUGUUAAAAAAAAGUAAAAUAUAUAGUGUUUAACCAUUAUGAGAUAGUCUUGGGGUUCUCUGACAGUCUAUUUUUUUAUCAAAUUGAGCUGGAGCUACAAUUUUCUUAGGACCUAGUCAUCACAACAAUUGAGUUAAGAUUGUUUUGUUGGCUUGCCGAUCUACGUGAGGGUCCUGCUCCCAUGUGAUUUUGGAAAAAAAAUACCUUUAGGGUUUUAUUUGUAUAGUUAAAAUUGAAAAUAUUUUAGGAUAUAACAGUAUAUAAGUAGAGGCGAGAAUGGGCCGGGAGAUUUAAGUUAAUAUAGAAAUAAUUAAAUACUUAUUUUGAUUAUUAAAUAUUUUGAAAUCAUUAAACCUAAUCCGAUCGUUUUAUCAUAAUCCGUCGACUGACGAUGAAUUAUUCAUCAACGAUGUACUUGUAUUGACGUUUUUGACGCAUGUGCACUUUGACGCACGUCCUAUUUUUUUUAUAUACUUUACUUAAAUUUUUACCCACGAUAUAAAUUUUUAGAUCGAUUUUUUUUGGGUCAUAGAAAAAUAAAUAGUUGGUUUAAUUUUUUUCUAUUAAGGAGUGGUGGAGAAGAAAUAAGGAGUCGUAGUAACAUUAGAUCAAGGGUGAAAACUGAAAAGGACUGUUUUAAAUUAGAAAUUUGUUACAACAAAUACAUAUAAAUUUCCCUCAAACUUUAUUCGUUAGAUUGACAAGAUUUGAAGAGAAAGUUUUGCCGUCAAGGUUUCCGAAACCAUUCGUUUUCUGUUCUGUUCUGUUCUUCCGUUAAACCCUUUCCUCCUCUCGCAAAAUCCCGGCCGUCUACGAUCUACUCCGUUGAUCUAGGGUUUCUCGAAGAAGAUCGAAAACAUUGCACUUUGGUGAUGAUGAAUCCAAAUCGUUUCUACAUGUCUCAACACCAACAACCGUCGUCGUCAAUGUACUCCACGUCACAGCAGCGCCAGUACUUCGGAGAAAACCAUCGCCCCCAACCUCCGUCUUCCCGUCCGAAUGGUCCGUUAUUCGCUGUAGCACUUGAGUUUCAGGAUAAAAAGGUUCCUACUUUAAGAGACUUAGAGAAAUUGAUUGUAACUUGUCCUGUAAAACCGGAGCAGAUGAUUGUGAAGCCUGGUGAGACUAAAGGGUUGAUUUUAUAUAAUGAAUGGCAUACGACUCUUGAUGCUUUUAUCUACUUCUGGCGUCGACGACUGUUUGGUACUUCUUCUUCAAUGUAUUCUCGUCCUGUUCCCCAAAUUCUCUUUAAUUGUACCAUUCCUUCUCCCCCGUCUAAUAAGGAAGAAAAGGAGUCUAGAAUGAGGAACCUGUUUAAGGAAUAUGCGCAGAGAAUUCUUUGUGGGAGUUCUGUUAAGAAUAUCGAGAAAAGGAUCAAUGAGUUAUUUAAUAAGAUCGAGGAGACUGCAAAGUCGUUAAAGAAUCCCAACUCUAUCAUGUUUUUCUUUGAAUUAGAAUCGAAGCAUAAGGCGCUUGUAUUGGAAAAGAAACUUCUGACUGAUCUUUUGACUGAGUUUAAGACAGAGAUUGGGAUCUUGGUUCAGAUUUUUGAGAGGAAGAGUUUUCUGGGUCAUUCCAGUCUUCGAUUUUUUCACUUGGAGAAUUCUUUGAAUUGGAUGAAAUUGCAGAUGAUGAUGGAAAGAGAAUGCAGAAGGUUGGAAAAUGGUUUGCCGAUGUAUGUUUCCAGAAAAAAGAUCCUCAGCACUCUGUAUUCCAAUCAGGUUCGGAAGAGAUAAAAAAUACAUUGUUCUGUUUUUUUUUUCAAUAACUAAUCAAACCCAUUUAUGUGCUGUGCUUAUAUUUUGUCUGCUGUCUGAGGUCUCUUAAUGUUUUUAUUUAUUUGUUUUGUCUGAUGUCACUGCUUGUUCAUGAUACUUGGAAUUUAAUUAAUUAUAAUAAUUCCUUUUGCAAUCAUUUUUAUUAUCUAUCUUACUGUUUGUUUGUACAGGUAACGAUCUUGAUUGGAGAAACUGGUUCCGGCAAGAGUACACAGUUGGUACAAUAUAUUGCUGACUCUCAACUGGCUGGUGAUGGAUGUGUUGUCUGCACCCAACCUCGAAAAAUUGCUUCUAUUUCAUUAGCUCAGAGAGUGAAAGAAGAAACCUAUGGUUGCUACGAGGAAAACUCUGUAUCUUCAUACUCUACAUAUUCGUCUUCUCAGAAAUUUAAUUCUAAGAUAAUAUUCAUGACUGAUUAUUGUCUUCUACAACAUAGCGUGGAUGAUGAGAUAUUUAAUACUAUCUCUUGUAUUGUCGUGGAUGAAGCUCACGAGAGAAGCUUGAACACUGAUCUUCUAUUGGCAUUGAUUAGGAGAAAAAUUUUACAAAGAAAGGACUUGAGGCUUAUUAUAAUGUCUGCCACAGCUGAUGCAGAAAAAAUCUCUGAGUAUUUUUUCGGCUGUCAAACAAUUCAUGUGACUGGGAGAAACUUUCCUGUCGAGAUAAAAUAUAUACCUGAUAUUUCUAGUGAGGUUCCUUGGAUCAAUCAUACCAAGCAUAUCCCUAUGAAUGCAGCCUCUUAUGUUUCAGAUGUUGUUAAGAUGGUCAGUGUUAUUCACAAAACCAAGGAAAAUGGAGCAAUUCUUGCAUUUUUCACCUCACAGGCAGAAGUGGAAUGGGCAUGUGACAAUUUUCAUAACCCUGAAGCCAUGGUACUUCCAUUGUAUGGGAAACUUUCUCAUGCAGAUCAACGCCGUAUCUUUCAAAAUUAUGCUGGGAAAAGGAAGAUAAUUUUUUCAACAAAUAUAGCUGAGACAUCUCUUACAAUUCCAGGUGUAAAGUUUGUGGUUGACUCUGGCAUGGUAAAAGAGAGUCGAUUUGAACCAAGUAAUGGUAUGAAUGUACUCAGGGUCUGCAGGGUGAGCAAGAGUUCUGCUCAGCAGAGAGCAGGUCGAGCUGGACGGAAUGAAGCUGGGAAAUGUUAUAGAUUAUAUUCAGAAUCUGAUUUUGAAUUAAUGAUAUCAUAUCAGGAGCCCGAAAUUCUAAAGGUUCACAUGGGAAUUUCUGUAUUAAAGAUCCUUUCAUUGGGCAUUAAAAAUCUCAAUGACUUUGAGUUAAUUGAUACACCUGGUUUGAAAUCCAUUGAUGUUGCUAUUCAGAAUCUAGUCAGGUUAGGAGCUAUUUCCUGCAAAGCUGGUGUACUUGAAUUGACUGUCACGGGUCGAAGGAUGGUAAAGUUGGGAAUUGAACCCAGACUUGGAAAGAUUAUCCUUGAAUGCCAAAGGCAUAAUUUAAUCAAAGAAGGUAUUGUCCUUGCCGCUGUCAUGGCAAAUUCCAGCAGCAUAUUCUGCAGGGUAGGCAGCAAUGAAGAUAAACUAAAAGCUGAUUGUCUUAGGAUACCAUUCUGUCAUCCUGAUGGCGAUCUCUUCACUCUGCUCUCGGUGUACAAGGAGUGGGAUCGUGAAGAAAAUAACAGAAACCAGUGGUGCUGGCAAAAUAGCGUAAAUGCUAAGUCAUUGAGAAGAUGUAAGGAGACUGUAAAGGAUAUUGAAUGUUGCCUUCGUCAUGAACUGAACAUAAUUGUUCCAUCCUUCUGGAAGUGGAGUCCAGAUGAACAUAAUCUGAGCAAGUUGUUGAAAAAUGCCAUACUCUCUUCACUAGCUGAAAAUGUAGCCAUCUACUCAGGUUUUGACCGACUUGGUUAUAAGAUACUACAGACAGGUGAGCAUGUAAAGCCACAUCCUUCAUCGUCUUUACAUAUUUAUGCCCAGAAGCCAAGUUGGGUUGUAUUUGGUGAUAUUCUAUCGACCACCAGUGAGUAUCUAGUAUGUGUAACUGCGAUAACGAGGGACGACCUACCAAGACUCCAACCUCCCCCUUCAUAUGAUAUUUCAAAGAUGGAAGAUCAGAUUAUGCAAACUACAAUUAUCGAUGGAAUUGGUACUCAUCUUCUUAAAAGACUGUGUGGCAAAGGAAACCAGAAUUUGUUACUUAUCGUUUCUCGUGUUAGAGACCUUUGCAAGGAUGACCGUGCUGAUAUUACUAUUAACUUUGAUAAAGGCGAAAUUUAUUUAUAUACUUCAUCAAAGGAUGCUGACAUUUCUUCUUCCCUUAUAAAUGAUGCGGUGAAUGAUGAAAUGAAAUGGCUACAAAAUGAGUGUGCAGAAAAAUAUUUGUUUCGUGGUAGUAGUAGAUCUAAUGCUUUCCCUUCUGUAGCUCUUUUGGGAGCUGGUGCUGAAAUUAAGUACCUUGAGCUUGAGAAGAAAUUUCUAACUGUGGAAAUAACCCAUCCACAUACAGAAAAAAUAGAUGAUAAGGAAUUACUUUUGUUGAUUGAUCAGACUGUCUCCCGUGUAUCUGGUUUCUGUAAGCAUACAUGCAUUGGAUUGAAUGAUACAUGUUCAAAUAUAUGGGGUAAAAUAACAUUUCUCAGUCCUGAAGCUUCUGAAGAAGCUGUAAGAAAACUUAAUGGCAUAGAGUUUUAUGGUGCGUUGCUAGGAGUAAGUCCUGCAACAUCAUUCGAUGGAGAUAAUAAACUUUUCCCCUUUCAAGCUGUAAGAGUGAAACUGUCUUGGCCACGAAGGUGCAGUAAGGGGAUUGCAUUUAUCAGAUGUAUACUCGAAGAUAUUGAUUUAAUUUUUGAAGAUUUAUAUAAUAAUCUUCUGAUUGGAGGAGUGUGUGUAACUUGCGAGAUUAGCACAAAGGCGGGAGGGGAUUGUAUUGUUGUGAAAGGUUUUGAUAAAGAUAUCUCAGAGCAAGAAAUCUCUAAGUCAGUAAGAAAAGCCACAAAUAGGAACAUUAUUGGUUUGUGGCUUGUGCGAGGGAACGCUGUUGAUAACCUAUCGCUCCAUGCUUAUGAGGAAGCAAUUCUAAGAGAAAUAACCCCUUUCAUGUUUAGCAGACAGAAACCAAGUGUAAACUGCAGGGUUGAAGUUUUCAAUCCUAAUCCAAAAGACAUUAUGAUGAAGGCUGUAAUCACAUUUGAUGGAAGUUAUCAUUUUGAAGCAGCUAAAGCUUUGGAUCAUCUUCAAGGAAGAGUUCUCUCUGGUUUCGAAAAUUGGCAGAUGAUAGAAUGUCACCAUUUGUUCCAAAGCUCCGUAUACUGCCCUCGUUACAUUUAUUUGGUUAUUAAGAAUGAUCUGGAGCGUGUUUUGGAAAAAUUGGGAUCUAUCAAAGGUAUUGCCUUUUAAUGUAAAGUAGCAAUCUUAAUUUUAUAUUUUGAAAUCACAUACUUUUUACUUGUUAGGCUCAUUUUUUUCUCAGUCCCACGGUAUGCAUUUUUCUAUUACUUUGAUGGGAAGUAUCUAUUUUGAUAUUAAAGAGGUCUAUGGUGAAAUUUAGGGUUCAAGGAUGAAACACAAUAAAACACUUUUAAUUUCUUUUUUGACCGAUUACUAUUUAUUAAUGUCCUUUGUCUCUGAUUAGUUUAUUUAUUGUAUUUAGGUUAAUUUUAUUCGAAAAUUGAUAAUAUAUAUACAUACAUAUUAAUAUGUAUUUGGUCUGAUAUAUGUUUAUAAAUGAUUCCUUUUGAUGGAUAAUUAGAGUAUGUUCUGACAUGAUCAUAUAAUUUGAUUCAGGUGGUUAUUAUAAGAAGGAAAUACUAGAGAAUGGUUCCCAUCGGAUAAAGCUUUUUGCCAAUGCAACAAGAACAAUGGUAUAUAUGAGGAAACCACUAGAUGUUUUGGUGAAAGGAAAUAUCGUAAGUCACUGUAGUUUGACAUUCACUGUCCGGGAUAUGCUACUGUCAAGGGAUGGUUUUCUUCUCAUAAAGUCUGUAGAACGGGAGACUGGAACAUGUAUCAUUUACGACAGACACUCCAAACUGUUGAAAGUAUUUGGUUCUCAAACAAAUGUCAAUCUUUCAGAGAAGAAGCUUGUCCAGUCUCUUUUGACCCUUCAUGAAAGUAAACAACUUGAUAUCCAUCUUCGUGGUCGUCAUCUGCCACCAAAUUUGAUGAAAGAAAUUGUUAUUAGAUUUGGGCCUGAUCUUAAUGCACUGAAGGAGAGGGUAGAUGGAGUUGAUCUUGUUCUAAAUACCCGUGACCAUAGAAUAUGUAUUAAAGGAACGAAAGAGAUGAAGCAGAAAGUUGAUGAAAUAGUAUCUGAUGUGGUGAAAUAUCUUGUAAAUGGUGAAUGUCAACAACCACUUGAGAAACCAUCUGAAGAAACAUCAUGUGGUAUUUGCCUAUGUGAACUAGAGGAGCCGUACAAGCUCGAAGCAUGCAAACACAGAUUUUGCCACUCAUGCUUGCUAGAACAAUGUGAAUCGGCAAUCAGAUCCCAUGAUGGAUUCCCACUAUGCUGUGCUCAUGAAGGAUGCAAAACUCCCAUUUUCAUUGUGGAUCUUCGGACGCUAUUGCCUGCCAAUAAGUUUGAAGAACUUUUCCGGGCAUCUUUGAGUUUUUUUGUGACUUCAAAUUCCGGAAACUACCGAUUUUGCCCAUCCCCUGACUGUCCAAUGGUGUACAAGGUCACAACAGAACCAGAUAUUCUUGAAUCAGUACCUUUUCUUUGUGAAGCUUGUUUGGUGGAGACUUGCAGCAAGUGUCAUCUAGAGUACCAUCCUUUCAUCACAUGUGAGUUAUACAAAGAGUACAAGGAGGAGCCAGACUUGUCUCUGAUAGAUUGGAUGAAAGGGAAGGAGGAGCAUGUUAAGAAAUGCCCUUCUUGUAAUUUCACCAUAGAGAAAAUCGAUGGGUGUAACCACAUCUCGUGUAAAUGUGGGAAACAUAUCUGCUGGGUGUGUUUGGAAAGCUUUGGUUUGAGUGAAGAAUGCUAUGACCAUUUGAGAAGCAUACAUGAAAAUGUAACAUAAGGUUUGCACAUCCAUCCAUCAUGUAUAAUUUGCCUUAACUUUUACAUCAGUUUGUUAGUUAGUUUAGUGGUAUUUUCUUGAUUCCUUUUGCAACUGAUGUUUUUUUAAUCUUUUAUCGUUUUAUCUUCUUGCAGACGCGUCAGGCGUGUUAAUAAUAAGCUGAUAGCGAUAAUCAACAAUUCAAUAAAACCAUUUUAUAAAAAGGUGUGUUAGUAGAAAAAUAGUAUAGUAUUUCCCUAAACUGCUGCUUAAUAUUUUAAUCUAAAAUGUUUUUUUUUAAUCUUUUAUCGUUUUAUCUUCUUGCAGGCGUGUUAAUAAUAAGCUGAUAGUGAUAAUCAACAACUCAAUAAAAACCAUUGUAUAAAAAGGGUGUGUUAGUAGAAAAAUAGUAUAGUAUUUCCCUAAACUGCUGCUUAAUAUUUGAAUCUAAUAGUGUAUUUGUGUUAGCAGGUUUUUUUAUUUAUUCGAUUUAUUAUUGCAUUACUGAAGUAGUAACAAAGGAGAGAAAAACAUACUGAAAAAAUCAUCCAAUCAAUCCAAACUCCAAAGAGGAUUAAAGGUCAAGGAAUAUUAGAAUGAUGUAGCUGUUGAAUGUUCUUUAUUGCUCCAUCAUAAUUGACAAACCCAAGAAACCAAAACUCAUGGGUAUCGACAGAGACCACUUGUAUGUACUUCUCCACUGGCUUCCCUUCACUCACUGAAGGAUUAACACUUCUCAGUUGAUUUAUUGGUAUCACAACCUGUAAUUUUAUUAAAAUAAGUUCCAUUUGUUAGCUGCUGUUUCUCUUUUAAUCUUAUCUUUGGUCUUUACUGUAGUUUAUAUAGCAAGUAUUGUAAUGCACUAUUUUUUUUUAAAUAUAAGAAAGCCAACUUACUUUAUAGUAGCUAUAAGCAGUUGUUUCAUUAUCCCCAUUUUUAUACGACAGAGGGUUGUCACUGCAAAAUCCAAGUUUUGCAGUUGAUAGGUAUAGAACACCCAUAACUGGUCCAGCAGAAGUUGACAAGUAACAAGCAAAAGUCUUCUUCAGAAUCUCAUCAGGGCUUGUUUCAAAGGUAGACUUGAAGAUCUUCUCAUACCCACCUUCUGCUAUCACCUUGCUCGUCUGUGCUAUUCUUCCCAUUGCAGCAUCUGCGAAACUCGGCCCUGUUCUCACUUUCCAAUACAACGCCAUCAAAAAAAAAAAAAAAAAAAUCAGAUUUUACCCAGAAAAUAAUAAACCAGAGGAGAAGGAAGAAGAGACUCACGGUGUUGCCAAGUGUUACCAGCGAGAUCCUCGGUCUUUUUAGCGGUUUCACCAACUCUUUUUCCCCAUCUACGAAGCACACUCUUUACCCUAUCCACUGCCAAUUAUCCAACCGAAACCCUAAUCACUCAAAAUUAUUCAAACAAAUCUCAAAAAUCUCAAAAAAAUCUCACAUUUUGCCCCCGCCGAUUGCGGUGGAGAAGUACGCGUCACAUACGGAUUGCUCCUCUCCUCCUCCUCCUCUACCAGCACGGUUCCUACCUUUGCAGGAAGGGGAGACGACUUCGAUUCAUCAAUCAGAACCUCGUUCCAUCUCACGCUCUUCUUUUGCACUUGUUCCUCUGUCUCCGUCAACGGUGUCUGAUGUUCCGAAGGCGGUGGAGGAACGACGACUCGGUCUUUGUCACCUUCCGAUGAGGCAACGGCCGGUAGAUCCGGCAAGGUCUUUCUCUCUCUUUCCGGUGAAAGUGGCACCUGUUCCAUUUGAUCCAUUUCCCGAAGCUCUGACGUUUCCAAUUGUUGCAGAGUCUUUGACUGUCCGACUGCUCGGAUCUGUCCGAUCUUUAAAAAUCCAUCAAUAUUAGUCAACUCAAAUCAUUGGCCGUUAGAUUCAGAUACAACCAAAACAAUAAUAAAAAAAUACAAAUUAUUAUUUAUUAAUUUAAGAUUUUAUUAUUUAAGAACUAAAUGAAAAAUGAGAUCGUAGUUAUUGAAUGAAUAUACAAGAUCUUUGAUAUAUGGGUUAAAAUGGUCAGGAUGCUAAUGACGUAUUUUGGCAUACCGAAUAAGAUCGAGGUUUUCUAAAGUUUUCAUUUGAAAUUGGCCCAGAAUUUACUAUCCAUUUUUGUAUAAAAACACAAAAUUGAUUAAAUCGUAAAUAUGAUUUUUCUUGUUUAAAAAAUUAAAUAUUACAAUCUUCAAAAUAUAAAAAUUAGUAAAUUACCAUAAAGAGUUAAAGACUACAUUUUUUUUUACUAACUUUUGAGUAGCUUUCUCUUUAGUUGUUGGUUGUUAUUUUUAAAGUUAUUAUUUUUCUACUAAUAAAAAUGUAUACUUCUCAUUAAGGUCAAUUUAAGGUAAGAUCUUAUUAUUUUAGAACUGGUAAAACUUUAAUCAUAAUUCUCACCUUCAUAUACAACAUCAUUCAUUACUCAAGAAUCAAGAUACAUACCAUAUUUAAUAUUAAAUGAUUUUUUUUCAUAAGUUACUUAAUCAUAAAUUAAUUUUUUUUUUACAAAGAUAAAGUUAAAAUAAAAAACAUGAGUUUGAAACCAAAUAACAGUAAGGUAUUAUGAUAGAUUUAAAACCAACUUUGAUUAGUCGAGGUUUCCUCCGUUUCUUUCAGAUUCUUCCAUGUUUAGCAUAACAAAAACAUUCCAGUGUUUAUAAGUUAUUGUCUCAUUCCUGCAUUUGUAUGAUUUCUUUUAAUAGUGUUCAUCUUUGAAUCCCCAUUCUGUAGUACAGAUGAUCUGUUUCAUAAUCAUAUCUUCACUCAGAUGAAUGUCAGUAGCUUUUCUUGUAUUGCGCUCCUUUCAUAUGCUCCAACUAGCUACUGAUAGAAGUGUCCAAUGAAUUCCCUAGAUAGGAGAGUUGAUUUUUAAUUUAUCAAUUUUAAAACUCAUAAAACUGAAGUCGAUACAGCUGUUUUGUUGAAUUAAUCCUCCCAAAGUCAGUAGACAGUUUCCGAUUAUAUUCCUGGUGUAGCAUCAUGAGUAGAAAAUAUGAUUGAUUGAUUCAGUUUCUCUUCUACAAAUGUAGCAUAUCCCGUUCGACUGUAGUCCCUCUAAUUAUGAGUCUAUCAAGUGUUGACAAUUUCCUAUACCUCAUCCGCCAAAGAAAAUUUUCAACCUUAGGGAUCUUAGAAACCCAUAUACCCCGUGAUAAAGAAUCUCAUUGGUCUAUCGAUCUAAUUGUUUCAUGAAUAUUCCCCGUGUAGACUCCGUGUAAAUGAUUUUAUUGUUAGAUGAAUAUUGUAAGAUCACAUGUAAAUUUUUAUUUAGUUCUUAAAUAGUGAGAUCAAUUUUGAUUUUUCAAUAUUAAUGGGCUUAUACUCUCUUAUAUUAUUAUUGGGCUUUGGAAAAUGAAGUCCAACUCCAAAUAGGCACAAUUGGUCCAACAAUCACAAGAGUUAUAUACAAGUAGUAUACUGUCUUUCAGCUCGCUCUGACUUUUCUCUGCUAACGGUUUGUCGUCACCGAUUUAGCUUUUUCCCUCCACGGAUCUAACCAACCCUAAUUCUCAUCUCGGCGGUCACUUCUACUCGUCGCCUGCAAAAAUGUCAUCCAUGAUGGUAAGUGAACACUCUAUAUUUCAUCAUCGCUACUGCAGUUGCUCACGAUCGUACUAAAGAUGUCUUUUUUUUUUGGAGUGCAGCAACCGCAGAUCAUACUCCUCAAGGAAGGAACGGAUACAUCGCAGGGCAAAGCACAUGUGAUCGGAAACAUCAACGCAUGUACAAUCGUUGCAGAUACUGUUCGGACGACGCUCGGGCCAAGGGGAAUGGAUAAACUCAUCCAUGAUGAUAAAGGGAAUACGACUAUUUCCAAUGAUGGAGCGACUAUCAUGAAGCUGUUGGAUAUUGUACAUCCAGCUGCGAAGAUUCUUGUUGAUAUUGCCAAAUCUCAAGACUCUGAGGUAUGUAUUCUGUCCAUCACUGUAUUGCUACUAUAUUGGUCUGUAUUUAUUAAUGUUGUGGGUUCAAAUUGAUAUUUUUACAGUUUUUGUCUGAUUUUCACUAGUUAAUGAAUGCAAUUUAUUUCCAUUUCUUUGAGAUCUUUGAGUUUCUGCUCCUUAUAAUUAAUACCACAGUUUCACUACCUUUCUCUGCUGUCAGUAUUAUGAUGUGUUUUAAAGUAGAUGGUUUGUGACUAAUAAUCUCAAUGUUAAAAAUGAAUUGACAGGUUGGUGAUGGAACGACUACAGUAGUGCUUUUUGCAGGUGAGUUUUUAAAGGAAGCAAAGCCAUUCAUUGAGGAUGGUGUGCAUCCUCAGAAUCUCAUACGCAGUUUCAGAAACGCAUCGACGCUGGUUUUCUUCUUGAUUUCUUUAUCAAAAAGAUUCACUAAAUUUUAUUCUCUGAUUUCUGAAAAUCUCUGUUUUAGAUCAUAAUUUUAUAAUUUCGUUUUAGGCUAUUAGAAAAAUUAAAGAACUUUCUGUGAGUAUCGAAGGCAAAAGUCUCGAAGAAAAGAAAGCUUUGUUGGCUAAAUGUGCUUCUACAACACUGUCCUCGAAGCUUAUUGGUGGCGAAAAAGAGUUUUUUGCAUCUAUGGUUGUUGAUUCUGUCGUCGCUAUUGGAAAUGAUGAUAGAUUAAAUUUGAUCGGUAUUAAAAAGGUGAGGGUGCUGUUUUUUUUGCAAUUGCCAAAUAAUUGAUAAUUCAGUGUCCAUGGUCCAGGGAAGAUAAAUAUGCACUUAUGUCUUGAAGAAAGUGGAAUAACAUGCUUUGAGAUUUAGUGUUUUUUAAAAUAAUGUGUUGUUAUUAAAUUUUUUUGUAACCAGAUAAUUUUUCUACUAAUUUGAAAGGAGAAUUUACAUAAUAGUUGAGGAUAAUUUUUUCCCAUAUUAUUUGCUUUUCUUCAUAUGGAUAACAUGCUACAUUGGACUUUGCUUCUCUGCUUAAUUCAAUGUGUUUUAUUUUGAUUGGUUUGUAGAUUUAGUUUCCAAUUUUAAUAUUUGGCAUUUAUAGAUUGUUUAAUAUACUUGAAUGUUAACAUUUCAAUUAUGGUUCUAAAUGCGCAUGCAAAAGCUACCUGGAGGCAUUUUUCAAGGCGCUUCCAGAUUUUGGGUCUUAGUCGCAUCUGGGUCCGAUCCACUUAAAUAUUUUAGGGUUCCAAACCCAAAAACUUUAAACCUCCCUUAAUCAGAUUAUUUUGUAGUAUUUAAGUACAUGAAGGAUGUUUAAACCUUGAAUAUUUAAGUAUUUUGUAUUAGUAUUAUAAAUAUAUGAAAUUUAAGUAUUUAAGAAUAUCUGAAUUAAGUAUUUACCAAAAUACCCUUGGUGUCUGAGGUGUGCCUAAACGGCAGUCCGUUAGGUCCUGGCGCGCAGUGCAAUCGCACAUUUAAAAAAGCUUGAUUUCAAUUACUACACAUAAUUGCACAUUGCAGUUCAUGAGAAAUCUUUUAUACUAAAUCAUUUGUCUUCAUUGUAGGUUCCUGGUGGUCACAUGCGUGAUUCGUUUAUUGUGCAUGGUGUUGCCUUUAAAAAAUCAUUCUCUUAUGCUGGUUUUGAGCAACAGCCAAAGAUGUUUCAGAAUCCAAAAGUCCUUUUAUUGAACAUUGAGUUAGAACUGAAAUCAGAAAAGGAAAAUGCGGAAAUCAGGUGAGAUUUUUUCAAUGUUUUUUCUAUAGAGAUUAUAAUACUAUGAUUUGAAUCAUUUUUGUUGAAAUAUAUUGAUGAAAUAUCUUCCUGUUACAGAUUAUCUGACCCUUUACAAUACCAAUCAAUUGUUGAUGCUGAGUGGAAUAUUAUAUAUGAUAAGCUUGAUAAAUGUGUAAAAAGUGGUGCCAAAAUUAUAUUAUCUCGCUUGGCAAUCGGUGACCUUGGAACACAGGUAUGUUUUUUCUCAUAAUAUCACCAUUGCUCUCAUGCUUGAGUUCUCCUUAUCAUGUGACGUUUUGCAGUAUUUUGCUGAUCGGGAUAUUUUCUGUGCUGGCCGUGUAAUGGAAGAGGAUUUAAAGCGUGUUUCUGCUGCCACUGGUGGUACCAUUCAGACAACUGUUAAUAACAUCAUUGAAGAGGUGAUUUUAUUCUCUCCUUCUAGACUCUCCCUUCGUUGGUUCUUUUCUUUUCCUUGCAUUGUUAUUUAUAAUUUUAUACUUUGUUUGUUGACCUGCAGUUCUUAUGUAGUUAAUAUAAUUCCAUUGUUAUUUCAUAUUCUCUGUUUAUAUUUAUUUAAUCGUUUAUCAUUUGAAUUUCAUUCAAGGUUCUUGGCAUGUGUGAAGUGUUUGAAGAAAGACAAGUAGGAAAUGAAAGAUUUAACAUUUUUAGUGGAUGUCUUUCUGGUACGACAGCAACCAUUGUCCUCCGUGGUGGAGCAGAUCAGGUUUGUUGAUUCUUAAAUCUUAAGUAGCAGGUAAUCUAUACUCUGUAGUCUAUUCUGACUAUUCUAAUAUAGUAAUAUAUAUUAUAUAUACAUAAGGUUUCCUACUUUCCUUAACUACAUAAUCUGCUAAUCUUUGACAGUUUGACUUAUACGUACAUUAUAUCCAAUAUUUCUCAGUUCAUUGAGGAAGCUGAGCGUAGUUUGCAUGAUGCCAUUAUGAUUGUCAGAAGAGCAAUGAAAAAUUCAUCUGUUGUUCCUGGAGGUGGUGCUAUAGACGUGAGUUUUUAUAAUUUAUUAAAUAUUUUAAAAAUUAAUUUUGUUGAUUCUGUUACUUUCCAACUUUUCUCAUUCAAAAAAUGACUUCAGAUGGAGAUAAGUCGAUAUUUGAGGCAUCACGCACGGACAAUAGCUGGAAAGUCGCAGCUAUUCAUAAAUUCAUAUGCCAAAGCUCUUGAAGUAAAUUCAUAAAUCGAUAUUUUGUGUUCAUAUUAAUAUUUCUUAUUUCUUAAUGAUGCAUUUUAAUAUUUCUAAAGAUCACUGCUUUCAGUUUCUUUUUAUUCAAUCGCAUAAGAUUAAAAAAUCAUAAUUCAUAUCAAUGUUCAAUGCACUAAUGCACAUCUUGAUUUUCUUAUAUUUGUCUGCUCAUCCUCUAUUUAAUUGCAAAUACAAAUCUUGACUAUAAUAUUAUAACUACCUUCAAGAAUUCCUUUUUAUAUCUUGAACCACAUGAAUUCUUUUUCCCCCAUAGUUUCUAUAAUACAGUUUCACACUAGUUUUCUCAUAACGCCACAUUCUAUGGUCUUUCUUGUGAUCAUCAGCUUUGUAAAGAUGACUUUACAGAGGCUGAGUUUUGCUGUGCCAUUUAAAUGUUACAGGUGAUUCCACGACAACUUUGUGAUAAUGCUGGAUUUGAUGCCACUGACGUUCUGAACAAACUUAGACAGAAGCAUGCUUCCAGUUAGUUGUUUCUUUUUCCGAAGUAUUAGCUUAUAUUUUCUUUCACUGCUGCAAUAUGCAACUAGCCAACUACCCAUGUAUUUUUUCAGGUGAUGGGGCAAAUUUUGGAGUUGACGUCAAUACUGGGGGAAUUGCUGAUUCGUUUGCCAAUUUUGUAUGGGAGCCUUCAGUAGUAAAGGUGCAAGAUUUUUCGUUAUUUGAUUUUUUUACAGUAGCUAAUUUAUUUUGAUGGUUGCAUGCUUUUUUUUACAGUAUGUAAGACAAGUAUUUAUAAAUACGGUAAAAUAAGUCUGAUACAGAAUUACAGAUAAUAUAAGAUGAGCAGUUGAAAUAGAUACUCUGUCAACUUAUAAUCGAUGAAUUAAACCCGUAACGUGUGAUCACUGACUACUUUAGGGCACUCAUGGUUGCAGACUUGCUGUUCUGAUGAGUGAGUGUAUUUUUUUGCAGAUUAAUGCUAUUAAUGCUGCUACAGAAGCUGCUUGUCUCAUUCUCAGUGUUGACGAGACUGUUAAAAAUCCCAAGGUACCUUAUUAUGUUUUCAGUGUUGACGAGUCAUGCCCAAUUGCCCAUAUUAUGUUUUCACCUCUAAAUCAUUAUCUGAUUGCAGUAAUUAUCUGUGCCGACUUUUCUGAAAUCUUCAGUGAUUUUAUUAUUAUUUAAAAACAGCUAUUUUAGAAAUAAUAUCUCUAAUUCCUCAUAUGCCCAAAUAUUUUGUUUUCACCUCUAAAUGAGUAACUGAUUGCAGUAAUUAUCAUUGCUGAAAUGUUUUUGUUUUACUACUAAACUGCAGUCAGAGAGUGCUGAGGCAGCUUCUGGUGGAAUGGGUGGCCGUGGUGGAGCUGCCUAUCGAGGUCGUGGUGGUCGUGGCAUGCGAAGGCGGUGAUCGAUCAAAAAAUAAUGUUUAUCAGAUAGUUUGUCAUAAGUUGUAAGUUUUUGUUUAUUUGAAAUUUUAAACUUUAAAAAAAUGAUGCUUACAUGAAAUUAUGAAAAAUUGAAAGCCACUCUUUCAGACAUUUUUGAUAAAAAAAUGAUAAAUAUAACCGACCACUCUUUCAAUUUUGUAAGUUCUAAGUUCUAACUAAAUGAUAAAUAUGAGCAUGAUUUGAUAUUUUGAUAAAAACAUGGUCAUUGAAGUAUCCAACUCUAUGUAUGGGCUAUAACUUCUAUGCAUAAACUUCAACAACGUGUUGCUGAUCCUGGUCAUUUUGGAGUAAUUCUGCUUCUACAGUCAUUUCUUCAAUGGUCUCAAGGAAAGCAUUCAUUGUUUCCAAGCUUUUGUCGUCUGUUACAAAUAAAUUCCAAAAAUAAUUAAUUAUAUCACAUGUUCUUGGAAAUUGACAGUCAUUUUAUGUACGAUUUUAAAUCAAUAAAAUGAGGGUGGACCAUGAAUGUUAGUUGAUUACCAAGAAGCCUGGGAACAGUAUGACCCUUUGGAUGGUGGACCACAAAAGGAUUCACAUAUGAUUCCAACAACUCCACUCCAUGUUGCCUCAAAAAAUCCUUCUCCCCUGUUUUUAAAGCAUUAAAAAUUGUUUACAGAAAUUCAAAUUAUUAUCAAUGUCUACUUGAUUGAAAAAUCACCAUCAUUAAGUAAGACUACACAUUCCUCUUGUGAUGAUGACCAAUUACCAAUAUAUAUCAUUAUUAUAUGAAUUUAUUAUAACACUUUGCCAUCAAAAUAAAAAUCUAAUUUUAUAUCAAUUAUAAAAAAGACAACGAGACUUAGACGACCAUUUCAUGAACUUUAAGAAUCCAAAAGCAAUUGGAGUUUGAAAAUAUUCCAUUUGAAUGUGAAAAUAUUCCAUUUGAAUGUGAAAAUAUUCCAUUUGAAUGUGAAAAUAUUCCAUUAUUUCAAUUUGGGUUGUUCAUUUUCCCACAUUAAAGAAGAAUAAAAAAAAGUAAGUUUUUUUAAAAAACAAGUUUAUUUUCUCUACAACUGUAUGGUCAGCGUCAACAUUCACCAACUAAACCUACCAUAUGUCAUCUGUUAAUCGUUAAGAUGUUAAUUAAUUAUACAUUAUUUCCCAACAACCCCAAAUGACCAAAACCUAGUGCAUGCAUGACAAAGUAAGAUUGAGGUCUUAUGAACUAUUAAGAUUUAUGAGGUUUAGAGUUCAAAUUUUACUUUGUACAUUUACACUUAAAUUUACCCGAUGAUAUAUUAUGUGACUCUAAUAUAUCAUCCGGAGGUUGACAACUCUACAUCUGUAGAGAGAUACCCUCCCGUUAUCAAAAAAUAAAAAAUAAAAAAAUACUAAUUUAAUGCAAUAAUAAAAUAAAGUUAAUAAACAUAUAAUCACGAUUCACGCCCUCUUAAAAAAGAAAUAUUACGAGAAUACUAACCUAAGAAAUGGAGAGAAGGGCAAACAAUCUUUUCAGAAUAAGACUUCUUUACCACAUCCGUUGACUGAAAUUUGGCACCGCCGAUGAUCAUUACAUAUUUAAUUUUGGGAACUUUCGUCAGAGCAUAACCCUAGGAAUCACAUAGAGAAGAUCGAGUACAGAUCAGUAUCCAGCAUACUCUGGUCUCUAUACAUACAUACAUACAUCGACUGAAAUCCUUCUAUAAAUAUAGUACAAAGUAUUACCUUCGCUUGCAUCCCCGGGAGCGCCGCAGACAGAAUCGCCCCCUGCAUCAAGCAAGCAAGUUUCGCAAUCAAUAACCAUUCGUCGAUUAUUUUGACAGAUUUCGCAAUUUUAAAAUCAUAUACUUUACCUGAGAAAAUCCCAUGAGCCCGUCGAACGGUCCAUAUUGGAUCAUCAAAUCCUCGAUGAAUUUCAGACAUUCUUCGAAAUUCACAUACUCCGUGAAAUCCUAAAAAAUAAAUAAAAACGGUAAGGAAAAAAGCAAUCAUCGAUCGUGCUAAAGGAAACGGAAUCGACGGAAAUCAAAUCGACCGACCUUACAGAAUUGGAACCAUUCGUAGUAAGGAGGAGGGAAGAUUCCAUCCACAUCGGACUUUCCAGCGCAAGGAAAAGGGGCAUCAGCGAAGAACAUGUCGAGACGUGAUGUUACAGAUUCCGGCCACUUACUGAUGAUUUGCUCUUUCAUUAUUGCUCCACUCGUACGGAAUCCAUGGAGACAAAGGAAUCUCGGUUUCUUCUUGUUAUUUUCGUCGUCAUCUUUUCCGUUCCGAUACACAGAAGUUGCAGUGAUGUUUUGACUCAUCUUCAUCGCACUCCCCAUCGUCAACGACGAAUCUAUUUGAAAUGACCAAAUAUACAAAUAAUACGAUGAUUCUGUUAGAAUCUAUUUAUAGCCGAAGCCCGAAGGCAGUUCUGGUGUCUCGCAUGUCUCGUUUUUCUUAUACUUAUAAUAACCGCGUGGCCUUCAUUCCUCUUAUCCUACCUCCACAGUUCCCACCUUUUGCACGUGCUAUUAAGUGUUUAAUUGUUGACUUUUGGAAAAAGAUUGACUGAUUUGGGUAUUUUGAUGGAAAAAAAACGAUUUUUUUAAUAUAUAUAUAUAUAUAUAUAGAGUAAUUAUAGGUGUGCCGAAGUUAAAAUAUGACAAAUUAAUCCUGUGUUAGUGUCUUUUGCAGUAUAUUAUUUUAAUUUUACGUACAUGUGUUAAUAUCUGAUGAAGUAUAUUAUUUUAACUAUUAGAAUAAAUAUUAAUGGACACGAUUUGAUAGCACAUGACGACACAUUCAAGGUACGGUGCAUCUGAAGCGCGCUCUAUAUAUAUUAGGGGUGCAACAAGGAUGUGUUUGACAAAAUCCGAUCCCAUUCUAUUUGAAGAUCUGUCGUAACGUGAUCAGUUGCGUCGGAGUCCGAGAACCAUAAGACAUUGGUCUGAGCUUGAGUCAUAACACGUUUUACAUAACUUGCUAAGCGAACUUUACUUUCAACCGGAGUAGGAUAGAGCUCCUCAUUAUGUCAUUUACGACAAGACAAUGCCUCAUGACCUUUCUUUUUACAUAUUUGACAGAUAAGUAAUUCUCGUCUUUCCGAGAAGUUUGCACAAAAUUAGCAGAUGCAACUGAAUUUUGGCAUUACGAUUUUUUUGAUUCAGAAAGAGAUUUCACAUGUUGGGAAUGGUCAUAGAAUUGAUCUGCGAUGAAAUGACCGCAGCAACUAUGUACUCGAAAUUAGAAUCCAAUCCGUCGAGAACAUAUAGAAUAAUUAAAAUCAGCAUCAGAAAACGCAACUCCGGUAAAUCAGAGAGGGACGACCAGAUUUGCCACUCUUGCUAGAUAAUCGCUGAUAUUAUCACCGUCUUUUUUCAACGUCCGCAGCUUCUGCCAAAUCUGCAGAAUCCACGCACCAGCGGACGAGGAGAAAAUUUCCAACAACGUCGCUCAUACAUUUGCAGAAGUCUCAUACAUAGCCACUUGUAAACUUAAUGACGAAAAGAUUUAGUCAAGUAACAUAUAAUCUUGCUGGAUCAUCAAAUAUGUCGUGAGCUACAGAUUAAGAACCUUCAACAUAAUAAAGUAGACAGUAUCCACGCAACAUCGAUUUGAUGUAUGUCUGCCAAACAAAGAAAUUGUCCCUGUUGAGUUUCUCAGAGUUGAGAUUCUUCAACUUUAGGACCUUGGAUUGUACGCUGAGGAGUCCGCGAAGUCUUCCGGAGUCGACAGUAUUGAAUUGUCGGGAUUCCCUCUAGUAGAUGGUUUCUCUAUGACUGAGAUCGAUAGGAAAAUGAUAAAGGUGGAACCCGAUCAGUGCUCGGACGACGUUUCGAACAAGCGUUGGGCUAAAAACUCCGUCGAAAAUCUCUCGGACACUUCAGUCACGUACUCAGGCUCUUUUUAACAAAGAUUCUUUCUCACUCCAAACAACCUAACCUCUAAUGAGUGCUCUAACCGCCUCACCGUCCAGAUCUGGCCCGGGUCGACUCCCUUAAGGUCGACUUUUAGUCCUAAGAGGUCGGCUUGACAAAAGUCGCCUUGUAGAAUCGACUGGGGUCUCCCAUGCCACCCAUUUCGGGUUAUUUCAAUCUGGUGUCGUGGUCAAGUCCGGAAUACUGUAUCACUAGAAAACAAACCAAAUUACCAAGAUGAGAAGAAGAAGAAAAAUAACAUUAUUUUUGUAGGUAUAAAUAAAUACAUUAUUUUUGUAAAGACAAUUUUGAUAACACAUGCGACCCAUUUAAUAUACCACGCACUUAAUAUAAAAUAUCUAUAUAUAAUAAAUCUAAUUUUUUUGAAAGAUAAAUGAUUACAAUAAUUAUUAAAAUUUCUAAAAAUCAAAUACUCAAAUCACAUUGUAAUCUUACACGAUUGAUUAAAAAUGUAUGGUCGAGAUUUAAUAUCAUUAUAUUAUGAGAGAGGCGGCAGAAUUUUUGAAUAGAACACAGUGGUUGUUGAGUUGGCCUAACGUGCUGUCGCACUUCCCCCGUGGUAUUGGAGUUUGCGACGUGCACAGCGGACUCGGAAAACCAAAGAAAUAAUAAAUAGAUUAUAAAUUCAAUUAUACCGGAAUUAUCCUUCGAGUUUUCAUCUAAUUACCCAUCGACCUCGUACCGGCCAUUUUUUUUAUCACCACCACUUCCACUCCAACAAGCUCACCAGUAAAAAAAAAAAAACGCAGUGCCAUCUGUGAUGAUAUCUGCAUUCUAGGGUUGGGGUUUCGAUCCAUCUCUGUACGAUGGGGAUCUGCUAUGGGAAGCCGACUUCGACUGGCAACGACGCUCGUUUCAGCUCCGGCGAGUCAAUGCCGGAGUCCCGACAUUCGGCAAGUUGUAAUCCGAGUCCGAGAUCCGACGAGGUGGCAACGGAGCUCCAACAGAAGACUUCUAAAAGUCGGAAUCCGUCUCCUGGGAGGAAGAAGCCGAGUAAUCUGACUAGUACUGGUAGCGAAGUAGCGAUGGAAUCCCAGACGGAUUCGAAAAUGUGGAAUCCAUCUCCUUCUAGAAAGAAUGCCCCGUCUCCGAGGAGGAAUGAGAAUGUCGUCGGAGACGGGGAGGAAAAGGAGGAGAAAGAGAAGGAGAAAGGGAGUUCGAAGCCAUGGACUUCACCUUUCUUCCCGUUCUACACUCCCAGUCCAGGUCACGGUCUUUUCACUUCAAAGAAGUCUCCGUCGAGAGGAUCCCACUCGAACACAUCUACGCCGAAGAGGUUCUUUAGGAAGCCGUUCCCACCGCCGUCACCGGCAAAGCACAUUAGGGCUGUGCUUGCGAGGAGACAAAGGUCUGUGAAGCCGAAAGAUGGCGAAAAAGACGGUGACGUGGAGGUAGUUGGUACCAAACUUGAUAAGAAUUUCGGAUUUUUGAAAGGGUUUGAGAGCAAAUUCGAGAUUUGGGAGGAAGUUGGGAGAGGUCAUUUUGGGUAUACUUGUUCUGCUGUGUUUAAGAAGGGAGAUCGUAAAGGCCAGCAAGUUGCUGUCAAAGUCAUUCCCAAAUCUAAGGUCAAGCAAAAAUCGUCAUUCAUCAUUCAUCAUCUCUCCACGACAUUAACAACAAACAAAAUAAUCAUGCAACCUUCUUGUUUUCUUUUGGGUUUUGCAGAUGACAACGUCAAUUGCUAUAGAGGAUGUGAGAAGGGAGGUGAAGAUUUUGAAAUCCCUCACAGGACACAGUAAUCUAGUCCAGCUUUAUGAUGCUCACGAAGACAUUGAUAAUGUGUAUAUAAUAAUGGAGUAUGCUUGUUUUCUAUCAUAACUUCUUCUUUUUGUUUCUAGUAAGUUAUUCUUAUCAAUUAACACUUACCAUUGAAUUUCUCUUAGGUUGUGCGAGGGAGGAGAGCUUCUGGAUAGAAUACUUUCAAGGUAAUUUGGUUUCUGAGUCACUAGACAGACAUUUGUUGCUCAUUAUAACUCUUAUUUCUUGUUUAGAGGUGGAAGAUAUUCGGAAGACGAUGCCAAAGCUGUUAUGGCACAGAUAUUAAGUGUUGUUGCUUUUUGUCAUCUACAAGGUGUGGUUCACCGUGACCUUAAACCAGAGGUAGGAUUCUUUUACUUCUUUAAUGGAAAAAUGUAAUUAUUGUGGGCUAUUUUCAACUUCAUGUUGGGAUAUCCAUGCGAUGAUCAAAAUUGUUGUUGUUCCAUUUCUUGAUCAGAAUUUUCUUUUUACAUCCAAAGAUGAAAAUUCCAAGCUCAAGGUUAUAGAUUUUGGUCUUUCAGACUUUGUCAAGCCAGGUUGGUUGAACACUUUUUAAUGACAACGCUUGCUUAUUGGGUAACUUAGGCUGAGUUGGUUACUAUAUUUUUCGCAGAUGAAAGACUUAACGACAUAGUCGGAAGUGCAUAUUAUGUGGCGCCAGAAGUUUUGUACAGAUCGUACAGUACAGAGGCAGAUGUAUGGAGCAUUGGAGUGAUUGCAUAUAUUCUUCUAUGUGGAAGUCGGCCAUUUUGGGCUCGAACUGAAUCUGGAAUAUUCAAAGCUGUAUUGAGAGCUGAUCCAAGCUUUGAUGAACCACCAUGGCCUUCUUUAUCCUCACAUGCAAAGGAUUUUGUUAAACGUUUGUUGAGUAAAGAUCCACGUAGGAGAAUGUCUGCUUCUCAGGCUUUGAGUAAGAUCAUUUAGUUGCCAUUAUUAUGGGUUUGUUUCUGGUGCUCAUUAAUCAUCUUAUGCAGGCCAUCCUUGGAUAAGGAAUCAUAAUGAUACAAAGAGGCCUCUUGAUGUUCUUAUAUUCAAGCUUAUGAAGGCUUACCUACAAUAUUCAUCUUUACGUAAAUCCGCACUAAGGGUGAGUAUUCAAUGCUAAAUUUAAAUCAAAUCAAAUCAAAUGUUCAAUGUUUCUUGUGCUUUUUGCUUCUUAUAAAAUCUACUGUUGAUGUGUGUUUAACAGGCACUUUCAAAAACAUUGACUCUGGAUGAGCUUUUUUAUUUAAAAGAGCAGUUUGCUCUUCUGGAACCAAACAUUUAUGGCUACAUUACUCUUGAAACCAUUAAACAGGUUGGUUAGAUUUCUGAAAUUGACUAUUUCCUUAGGGUUGACUGAUAUUUCUUUCUCCAUGUAUCUUGCAUGACAGGCUAUGACAAAAAAUGCAAUAGAUGCAAUGAGAGAUUCCCGUGUCAAUGAUCUUCUUAUAUCGGUAUUUUUCACUGCGACUGAUUCUAGAGUUCAAUGUAACUGAUAUUCUGAAGUUCAUCUGAGUGCUGAGUAUUGUUUUUGUAUUUUUUUUUUGCCUUUUGAUCUCUCAGCUAAGUGCUCUUCAAUAUAGAAAGAUGGAUUUUCAUGAAUUCUGUGCAGCAACAUCAAAUGUGCAUCAGCUUGAAGGUGUUGAAAGAUGGGAGCAACAUGCUCGAUACGCUUAUGAACUUUUUGAGAAGGAUGGUAAUAGAGCCAUUGUUAUUGAUGAGCUUGCUUCGGUAUGCCAUCCAUUAUUUUCUAUGUUUUUCUUUCAAUCUUUUUUCAAAUCAAUACUUUAGAUUUUUCUCGAAAUAUAAAAUUAAGUAGCAUCUGAUCAAUACUGUCUUUCUUUCAGGAACUUGGACUCAGCCCAGGCGUGCCAAUCCACACUGUCCUCCAUGACUGGAUCAGGCACACUGAUGGAAAACUAAGCUUCCUAGGAUUCGUCAAACUAUUACAUGGUGUUUCCAGCCGUACCCAUGUCAAAGCACAGUAAUCGAUCUGUUUCAGAAGUCAGAACCCAUGUCAAACUACUAACAUCCAUUAUUUUCUUCUUCUGAGCACUGAAGAAGAUGAAGAAGAACUCUGCCACAAAAAGAUCCAGGGUUCCAAAAAUUGUGUACUGACAUAUUUAUUUGUCGUUGCAAAAUUUAGAUGUUGAAAAAAUAUAGUUGUCUAUUGUCAGAGCCCAGACGCUCAGAGCCACCCCACUAACUACUAACUUACCGUUAAAUAAGAUAGACAGCAAAAUCUCCAGUAACAUCAAAAUAUAAACAAAACUGACAUCAAUCAAUACAUGAUCAAAUCUCUAGUUUCAAGUCUAAAGUACACACCAGAUGUCUGAUUUAUUGAACUUCCAGUUUUCAUUACAAGUUUUUAAUUAUCUUGAAGACCCAAAGGGUUUUGCAAUAUUACAUACAUAAUUCAUAAACAAGGAGAAUUUAAUAAGUAACUAUCUGGAUACCAAAGGUUUUUUGAGCAAAGUGGACCAUAUUUUGGACCUCAGCCUCGCUGAUAUAUCCAUCACCAUCGUCGUCUGCUUUUUUGAUGGCACGUCUGCUUUUCCAGCCGUUAAACCACCGACCGCCGGAGCGAUGGACCAAAUUUUGAAGCUCAUCUUUACUUAUACGUCCAUCGCCGUUUUUAUCGAAUUUCAUCAGCCACUUUCUGAACUCAUCCUCUGUCAUGAUCGUGGUGGACGAUCCUUUAGAAAAUGUGUGUCGUCUCACCUUCGAAGGCCCCUUCAACGCCAUUUUAGAAGAAGAUGAUGAUAAUUUAGAAGAAGAAGAAAGGGUUGGUUAUUUAAUAAGUUUUCAAGUUGUUUUAAUCAGUGGAGAGUUGUCUCAGUCAAAGUAUUCUAGAUUAUCUUAGCCUCACUGAAAUUAUUGAGGCUCCAUUUGAGAAUCUUGGUCGGAAUCUUGAGUAAAAUGUUGGUCGCACCAAGAAAAGCAUCAAUCCGGUCCCGCCUUCGCGUUCACGCUAAGUUAACUAGAAUCUAAAUCAAUAAUCUGAUUUAAGAUAAGUGGGCAUCUGAUUCCCGACCUAAACCGUUUUAGGUAAGAUAUUAUAAAUAAAAUCGAUAAUUUUCAGGUGUGUCGUACACGUCAGUGAGUCAAAAUACGUCGUGUGCAUUCUGUCUUUUAAUUUUUAAUUCAACAACUAAAUAAUGUCCUGCACAAGACAAUAACACAUGUAUGAUAAAAAAAAUGUACAACAAAAGACACUAAUUCACGUACGACGAUAUGUCGAUCUAAUGGUCAGAAUUUUUUGACACAUUUUGACGCAUUGCAAUUCGACGCACGAAACCUCCCCUAAAUUAAAUAUUUGUAAUCUAACUCUUCAUUAUAUAUUAGACAAUGUUAUUUAUUUGAAAUAAAAUAUAUCAGACAAUGUAAAUUGACCAUGGAUAUUUGAAUUGUAUGAUUUAAAUUUAAUGUUAUCAUUGAUUUGAAUUGUAUGAUUUAAAUUUAAUGUUAUCAUUGAUUUGAAUUUUAGGAAAUAUCCAAAAAAAAAAAAUCAGAACAUAAUUCUUUUUUUCUACCAGUGUAACUGUGUAAGGAAUAUUUAAUAAUUAAUAGGGGCAAGUCUGCUAAAUUCACGUGAUAUAGGGACGUUCAGGCACAUUUUCUUCUUUUUCGAAUUUUUUCAUAGUCCCAUACCGAUGAAAUGUUAAAAAAAAGUAAGAUAUAUAUAAGACCCAUUUUGUAAAACAUACACGACCUUACUUGAACAGGAUCUGUUCUAUAGGAUCGUACUACUAUUGUCUUUAGUAAUAAAGAGACUAGUCAACAAGUCUGGUGGAUGAUAAAUAACCUCAUGAGCAGAGCGUGAUUAACGGAUUUGAUGAUUUAUCAUUUAAUCUGUAGAUGAUCGUUCUCAGAUCGGUAUCACCUUUAUGAGAUGUUUGUGAGGUUUGCUGACAGACUAAUUUUUUUCCUUUAUUACUAUUUUUUUAGAGCAAUUUUAAAGUACUCCACCAAUUUACAUCAUUAAAUCUACCGA